Molecule: long non-coding RNA, 1984 nt
Organism: Coturnix japonica (Japanese quail)
Lineage: Eukaryota; Metazoa; Chordata; Aves; Galliformes; Phasianidae
Source: RefSeq, a predicted model, not a curated record
CCUAACUUCUAAAUAAAUUCUUACUGAGAUAGUCUAACUAUAUUCUUAUCUAUGCUAAACAGCACGGUGAGAUGUGAAGGGUAAAGCGCCACUUAUUGAUUGUUUGUUUUGGAAGUAUUCGUACUAUCAAAGACCAAAAAGAACCACCUCUGCUGUUAUUUUGUUGCCUUUUUCAGGGGAGAUGGCCCUGUGUAUGAUACACCCAUUAAGAAUUCCUGCUUGAGGGUAGAACUUUAAGGGUAUUCUCCACCUUAAAACUGAUGCUAGAUGUUCUGUUGUUGGUGGUGGGUUGUUUUAUUUUGUUGUUGUUUGUUUGUUUGUUUUUUAAAUGAAACCUCUCUGUGACACUGUGGGUGGCUGGGCAUGUUGUAAUCCUGUCAUGCACUUGGGUGCCCAAACUGCAAAGAGUCUCUUAAUUUUUAAGCAGGAAGACGAAUUACUUUACCUGAACGGAAAUUGGGCUGCUUCAUUGGCUUUGGAUGAUGCCAUCCAAGUUGGCUGAGAGGAAAAGCAGAAGCUCAAAUUCCUCCAAGUGUGAUAAAGUAAAUCUCUGGUGGAGCAGGUCACAAUUUGAAGCUUUUCUGUGUAAUUAUUAGAGACUGAAAACUUCAUUAAAAAGAAAAAGUCAAGAUUAUUCUAUGAUCCUAAGAAUCUCAAUGCAAGGACAUCGGCAUCAUUGAUGCCCCAGAAAUGAAGAAAAGUUUUCAAGUACAUCUAAAUAUCAUCCAACACCUGAGAGGAUUUGAUCAAAGAGACAAAGUCAAGCUCAUCGCAGUGGAAAUUCAAGAGAUUAUGGACACUGAAACAAGAAAUUAGUAUGUGAGGAAAAGCUUUUUCACCAUAAGGACAGUGAAACAGAGGAAGAGGCUGCCCAGUGAGGAUGUAAGUUUUCCAUCUCUGAGAGUUUUUCAAAAGCCAUCUGGAUCAUAAACUGCAGAGUUCACCUAAUUUCAAUCAAGGGUUGGAACAGAGACUUACUGAGGUCUUUUGUGAACUGUGUUUUCUUAUGAUCAUCUACUGUACUAUACCGUAUCCGCAGUUAAUUUUCUCUUUUCCAGAGAGAUUAGUCUUUUUUACACGUAAACAAUAUGUGUAUUGUAUAACUUCAAUCAUUUUAGUUGCACUUCCUUGUUUUACUGUACCCUUUCUAAUACAGGGCAACAAGCUGCACAUGGUUUCCAAGAGAGCAGGCACUGCAAAUUAAUUCUAUGUUUAGUGGCAUUUACAUCUUUGUUCCUUAGUCCUUCAGCAGUAAUUUCUUACCAGUCUGUUUGCCUUGUAAAUGGCACUUCACUUUGGAUUUGAUAUAUUCAUAGGAUAUAUAUAAUAAUACAAAAGCUGUCUGUGAAGAUUUGUCAAGUAGUUUCAUUAAAUUUAGACCCCAUCAUUUUGUAAUUGUGAUUAAAUUUGGAUUUUCCUGUAUGUAUUUCUUUGUGUAUGUUGACUCAGUUUCUUGUUUAUCCAAUAUUCUUCUACACUACUUUAAGUUUUGAAGUGCACUGAAUAUUGCUGUAUCAUCAGAAAGCUUCAUUACAGAGCGAAAAAUAAAAGAAAUUAUAUAUUUUAGUCUCAUGUUAUACUGUUGCCUGUUUUUAAGGCACCUUAAAAUUUCAUAGAAAGUAAAAAGUUGCUGAAAAUGAUGUAGAGCAAACAAGAAUGAAGACAGAUUUUUUUUUAAACAAAUGCCCAUACUUCUCACCUUUUAAAUACUUAAUUGUUAAAAUUUUAGACCUAACUUGCCACAUCUUAGGCCAGUUUCUUUUUAUUUUAAUUGAACACGGGUCCCAUUUCUGCACGAUGACUCUUAUGUUAGCUUUUUUACCUCUGAAUUUUAACAAUGAUGCUGCUCUAUUGUUUCUUUCAAGGUCAUUUGAAUUGAUUGAAUAUGUCUAUUUAAAGAUUCUACUGUAAUAUGCCUCCAUAUUUGUUGGUUGAUUCUAAUCAUUUUCCAUUAAUAAAAUUUCUAGAGUAAUUCGGUAAUAGA